AAGUCCAAGGAGCAGCUAUGACAAGGUUUAAAGCUAUUGAAUGGCUUGAAAGUGUAGUUAGGCCAUUGGAGAUACCAAAACAACCAUCAAACUUUUUGAUAGGUCAAAGCUUCAUGUUUCCAACAACUAAUGGUUGUUCUAUCGUAAAGACUUCUGGAGAGCUGGGAACGACUGGAAGUUGUGGUGGCUGUGUGACCGAGGUAUAAUCGAAUUGAAGUUUGUAGAAGUAAUUUUAUACAUCAGCUUGAAAAGGAUCAGAAGACCUGUGAUAUGCUAGCUGAUCUACAAAUUAAAACAAAAAACGAAAUUGCAUGGAAGAAGGCGAGAGAACGAGAUAUUCUAUUA
Molecule: long non-coding RNA, 345 nt
Organism: Helianthus annuus (common sunflower)
Lineage: Eukaryota; Viridiplantae; Streptophyta; Magnoliopsida; Asterales; Asteraceae
Exons: 4
Source: RefSeq, a predicted model, not a curated record